AGAUUGAACGCUGGCGGCAUGCUUUACACAUGCAAGUCGAACGGCAGCACGGGGGCAACCCUGGUGGCGAGUGGCGAACGGGUGAGUAAUGCAUCGGAACGUAUCCUUAAGUGGGGGAUAACGCAUCGAAAGAUGCGCUAAUACCGCAUAAUCUCUAAGGAGAAAAGCAGGGGAUCGCAAGACCUUGCGCUUUUGGAGCGGCCGAUGUCUGAUUAGCUAGUUGGUGAGGUAAAGGCUUACCAAGGCUUCGAUCAGUAGCUGGUCUGAGAGGACGACCAGCCACACUGGGACUGAGACACGGCCCAGACUCCUACGGGAGGCAGCAGUGGGGAAUUUUGGACAAUGGGGGCAACCCUGAUCCAGCCAUGCCGCGUGAGUGAAGAAGGCCGUUCGGUUGUAAGUCUCUUUCAGUCCGGAACGAAACGGUACACGGUUAAUAACCGUGACUACUGACGUACCGAAGAAGAAGCACGCUAACUACGUGCCAGCAGCCGCGGUAAC
Molecule: ribosomal RNA, 501 nt
Filed under: uncultured soil bacterium
Lineage: Bacteria
Description: bacterial SSU rRNA
Rfam family: Bacterial small subunit ribosomal RNA
Source: RNAcentral